This 30-nucleotide non-coding RNA is filed under the name Mus musculus (house mouse). The record is from RNAcentral. Lineage: Eukaryota; Metazoa; Chordata; Mammalia; Rodentia; Muridae.
UCCAGGUCGAUGCAGAAUUAUAGGAGAAUU